Small nucleolar RNA from Mangifera indica (mango), 107 nucleotides. NCBI's taxonomy places the organism in Eukaryota, Viridiplantae, Streptophyta, Magnoliopsida, Sapindales, Anacardiaceae. The record is from RefSeq and is a predicted model, not a curated record.
AAACCAUGAUAGGGACAUUGUCUUUGUAAACUUUUAAACCUUUCCCAAGCCUCAUAUAAAGACUCAUCAUCCCUUUGGUAAAAAGUGGUGAUCUCAUUUCUCAAUUU